Molecule: transfer RNA, 62 nt
Filed under: Wuchereria bancrofti
Lineage: Eukaryota; Metazoa; Nematoda; Chromadorea; Rhabditida; Onchocercidae
Rfam family: tRNA
About the family: Transfer RNA (tRNA) molecules are approximately 80 nucleotides in length.
Source: Rfam by way of RNAcentral
ACCAUGGUAGCUCAGUCGGGAGAGCGUUAGACUGAAGAUCUAAAGGUCGCCGGCUCAUGGGA